This 230-nucleotide ribosomal RNA is filed under the name uncultured bacterium. RNAcentral's name for it is "partial 16S ribosomal RNA". It matches the Rfam family "Bacterial small subunit ribosomal RNA", at positions 524 to 750 of the family's 1533-position model. The record is from RNAcentral.
UACGAAGGGUGCAAGCGUUACUCGGAAUUACUGGGCGUAAAGCGUGCGUAGGUGGUUUUGUUAAGUCUGAUGUGAAAGCCCCCGGGCUCAACCUGGGAAUUGCAUUGGAUACUGGCAGGCUAGAGUGCGGUAGAGGGUAGUGGAAUUCCCGGUGUAGCAGUGAAAUGCGUAGAGAUCGGGAGGAACACCAGUGGCGAAAGGCGACUACCUGGACCAGCACUGACACUGAG